CCAUGAUGUCACAGGCCGCCGGGACGCCAGCAGUAGCACCCAGGGCAUUUUGAUCAUUUUGAUUCUGCUGCAUUACUAUCAGCUGUCACAUGCUGUUAGUCCACAAAUCAUUCACGUGUGGGAAAAUUCUCCUCCUGACCACUAGGUGGAGACAAAACACACCAGAGCUUUAAAUCCCUCCUAUUUCCCAUGAUCCUCUGUCAUUUUCUUUCGCCUCCUUGAUGAGGAGUGAGAACCUCCUGUCACGAGGAUACAAACAUCCAUGCCACCACCACCACCACCACCAGUCUUCAGGCAACCACAAGAACAGUAUGCUCCCAGGCAUGAGCAUGGUUGGAUGGCUUCAGUUGAGGACCUGGGAGUGAUGCCACCACCAUUGCCAUAUGAGCCCUGGCAAGAUUUCUGGCCAGAGGAAUACCCUCACUUUGGCUUUGAGGGUGAGCCAAGACAGCCACAAUGGGUCCAUGUAUUUACCCCCCCCCCCACAACACAAUCUCAUGGCAGUGAGCCACCAUCCUCAUAAAUUGGAUGAGCUCCGCCAUCCUCAUCAAUUGGAUGAGCUCCACCAUCUUCAGCUAUUGGACGAGCUCCACCAUCGGCAGAUGGAAAUAUAACAGAUUCUACAGCUGUACCUCAAGCACCAUCAGAUGCAGGUGACCCUGCCCGACAUGAACCAGCAGUUGAAGCUGGCCCUGCCCCACAUGAACCAGCAGUUGAAGCUGGCCCUGCCCCACAAGCACCUAGAAGCCCUGCAGCUCAAGAGCCUGUGGAUGCAUCUCCCCUGGGUGAGGAAUACAUUGCACUCCAGAGGAGGCUCAUAACAAGCACUGAGAGCAUACAAAGAGGUCAAUAGAGGUUCUUAGGAACCAUGAAAGGUUCAUCAGGAUCCAAGAGAGGAGACAACAACGUAGCAUAGAGCUACAGAGGGACAUGGCAGCAUCGUUAAGUGCAAGUGUUCAUAACCAGUCACAGAUGAUGCGAAUUCUGUCUGAUAUGCAGAUGCAAAUGGACAAUAGAUGGAGAGAACAAAAUCAACUCUUGGGUGUGUUGGUUGAGCACUUUACACACCAGCAGGACACUGCCUCCAGCCUAUCAUCUGUGGCCAGCACACCAGCAAAAACAGCAGAAUCUUCUCAAACCAGUCACCUCAGCUCUCUCAUCCAAGAAGCCAAAAAAUAAAUAAAUAUUAUUAUAGUUCACCAUAAA
Long non-coding RNA from Bombina bombina (fire-bellied toad), 1206 nucleotides. RefSeq lists it as uncharacterized. The record is from RefSeq and is a predicted model, not a curated record. The transcript has 3 exons. NCBI's taxonomy places the organism in Eukaryota, Metazoa, Chordata, Amphibia, Anura, Bombinatoridae.